GACGAACGCUGGCGGCGUGCUUAACACAUGCAAGUCGAGCGAAGCCCCUCCUUCGGGAGGGUGUCCUAGCGGCGAACGGGUGAGUAACACGCGGGCAACCUGCCCUCAGCUCUGGGAUAACUCCGUGCAACCGGGGCUAAUACCGGAUACGACCUCCACGGGCAUCUGCGGAGGUGUAAAGAUUUUCGGCUGUGGCUGGGCCCGCGGCCUAUCACCUAGUUGGUGAGGUAGUGGCCCACCAAGGCGACGACGGGUAGCCGGCCUGAGAGGGCGACCGGCCACCAUGGGACUGCGGGACGGAGCAGAAGCCAAUGUGAGGCAGCGGGCGGGAGUAUGACGCAACGGGCGAGAGCGUGUCACAGAGACGCCGGGUGCGGGAAGAAGGCCUACGGGUGGUAAACAUAUUUCAGAAGGGACGAGGAGAAAGUGACGGUACCUGCAGAAGAAGCACCGGCCAACUACGUG
This 465-nucleotide ribosomal RNA is filed under the name uncultured bacterium. RNAcentral describes it as "partial 16S ribosomal RNA". It matches the Rfam family "Bacterial small subunit ribosomal RNA", at positions 28 to 507 of the family's 1533-position model. The record is from RNAcentral.